Molecule: ribosomal RNA, 292 nt
Filed under: uncultured prokaryote
Description: partial 16S ribosomal RNA
Rfam family: Archaeal small subunit ribosomal RNA
Source: RNAcentral
GUGCCAGCCGCCGCGGUAAUACCGGCAGCCCAAGUGAUGGCCGAUCUUAUUGGGCCUAAAGCGUCCGUAGCUGGCCGCACAAGUCCAUCGGGAAAUCCACCCGCCCAACGGGUGGCCGUCCGGUGGAAACUGUGUGGCUUGGGACCGGAAGGCGCGACGGGUACGUCCGGGGUAGGAGUGAAAUCCCGUAAUCCUGGACGGACCGCCGAUGGCGAAAGCACGUCGCGAAAACGGAUCCGACAGUGAGGGACGAAAGCUAGGGUCUCGAACCGGAUUAGAAACCCCAGUAGUC